UUUCCGUAGGUGAACCUGCGGAAGGAUCAUUACAGAGUUCGUGCCCUCACGGGUAGAUCUCCCACCCUGUGUUAUUAUACCUUUGUUGCUUUGGCGGGCCGCCCUCGGCUACCGGCCCCGGCUGGUACGCGCCCGCCAGAGGACCCCAAACUCUGAAUGUUAGUGUCGUCUGAGUACUAUACAAUAGUUAAAACUUUCAACAACGGAUCUCUUGGUUCUC
This 220-nucleotide unclassified non-coding RNA is filed under the name plant metagenome. RNAcentral's name for it is "partial contains small subunit ribosomal RNA, internal transcribed spacer 1, and 5.8S ribosomal RNA". The record is from RNAcentral.